RNAcentral lists this ribosomal RNA (587 nucleotides) under uncultured organism. RNAcentral describes it as "bacterial SSU rRNA". It matches the Rfam family "Bacterial small subunit ribosomal RNA", at positions 834 to 1420 of the family's 1533-position model. The record is from RNAcentral.
ACAUCGUCAGCGCCUGAGCGUUAGCAUUAAGUGAUCCACCUGGGGAUUACGAUCGCAAGAUUGGAACUCAAAGGAAUUGUACGGGGGCCCGCACAAGCGGAGGAACAUGUGGUUUAAUUCGAUGAUACGCGAGGAACCUUACCUGGGCUUAAAUGCAGAUCGACGUUCCGGGAAACCGGAAUUCCUUCGGGCGAACUGCAAGGUGCUGCAUGGCUGUCGUCAGCUCGUGCCGUGAGGUGUCGGGUUAAGUCCCAUAACGAGCGCAACCCUUAUCGUUAGUUGCCAGCGGCUAAUGCCGGGGACUCUAACGAAACUGCCCCUCCUAAACCGUGAGGAAGGUGGGGAUGACGUCAAGUCAGCACGGCCCUUAUGUCCAGGGCUACACACGUGUUACAAUGGUCGGUACAAAGGGCAGCUACCAGGCGACUGGAUGCUAAUCUCAAAAACCGAUCUCAGUUCGGAUUGAAGUCUGCAACUCGACUUCAUGAAGCUGGAUUCGCUAGUAAUCGCGCAUCACGCCAUGGCGCGGUGAAUACGUUCCCGGGCAUUGUACACACCGCCCGUCAAGCCAUGGAAGCUUGGGGUAC